This 754-nucleotide ribosomal RNA is filed under the name uncultured Acidobacteriota bacterium. RNAcentral's name for it is "bacterial SSU rRNA". It matches the Rfam family "Bacterial small subunit ribosomal RNA", at positions 8 to 796 of the family's 1533-position model. The record is from RNAcentral. Lineage: Bacteria; Pseudomonadati; Acidobacteriota.
AGAGUUUGAUCAUGGCUCAGAAUCAACGCUGGCGGCGCGCUUAACACAUGCAAGUCGAACGAGAAAGCCCGCAAGGGUGAGUAAAGUGGCGUACGGGUGAGUAACACGUGGGUAAUCUACCUUUUGGUGGGGAAUAACGCUGGGAAACCGGCGCUAAUACCGCAUAAGCUCGGAAGAGGAAAAGAGAAAUCUGCCGAAAGAGGAGCCCGCGGCUGAUUAGCUAGUUGGUGAGGUAAAGGCUCGCCAAGGCAAUGAUCGGUAGCCGGCCUGAGAGGGCACACGGCCACACUGGCACUGAAACACGGGCCAGACUCCUACGGGAGGCAGCAGUGGGGAAUCUUGCACAAUGGGGGAAACCCUGAUGCAGCGACGCCGCGUGAGUGAUGAAGCCCUUCGGGGUGUAAAGCUCUUUCGGCAGGGACGAUAAUGACGGUACCUGAAGAAGAAGCUGCGGCUAACUACGUGCCAGCAGCCGCGGUAAUACGUAGGCAGCAAGCGUUGUUCGGAGUUACUGGGCGUAAAGAGUGCGUAGGCGGUUUUCUAAGUUUGGUGUGAAAUCUCCCGGCUUAACUGGGAGGGUGCGCCGAAGACUGGAAGGCUUGAGUAUGGGAGAGGUAAGCGGAAUUCCUGGUGUAGCGGUGAAAUGCGUAGAUAUCAGGAGGAACACCUGCGGUGUAGACGGCUUACUGGACCAUAACUGACGCUGAGGCACGAAAGCGUGGGUAGCAAACAGGAUUAGAUACCCCGGUAGUCC